UUUUUAUAAAAUUAUGUAAUCUAUUAUAUAUCUUAUACUGCAACAAGGGGGUUUGAGGAGCCAAUUAAAUCGUGUCUAAUUACUUAUAUGCCCAUGGAAAACCCAUUAAACCUUGUCCGACUGCUUAUGCCUGUUCACUUGCCGUUGCAUGUUCGUUACCCCUGGUCCCUGGUUUGAGCUUUUUUAUGCAACACUGCCACGCUCGUUUCUCUGCAAUUACAGCCUAGAUCAAAACCUCAUACAAUUAUACACACACACACACACACCCUUCUCAGCUCUCAGCUCUUAGCAUCGCUUCAGGCCGAAUGUCAUAGAGCUGAAACUGGAGAGGAGAGGCAACUGAGGCAACUAGAGAAUUUUACAAGCGGAUCUUUCUCCGCUUAGACUCUAUGAGACUAUAAAUUCCCGGAAGAAGUCUGAGGAGAAGGUGUCUGUAGGACUGUAGCGGUAGAUCUGGAUCAGAUGAAGACUAAAAGAGAGAGGAGUUUGAGUGAGUUGACGCCAGAAAAUAAAUGCGAGGGUAAGAACUCUGGUUGUGGGAAAAAGCAAGCUUAUGAUGGUCGUGCAUUCAGAGCUCUUUUUAAGAGACAAUCAAGCAUUAAAGCUGCUGCAGGUAGUUUAGUUUCUCUAUGCCCUCUUCCCAUAUAAAUCUGUCACUUUCUGAUGUUGGGCUUGAAGAGCCUUCAGCAAUUGCAGAAAAAUUGGUUGUUGACUUAUUCCAAGGGAGUUUGCUGAGCCAUUUUAUUUUAUGUGGCAGCCACGUCAGGCUACACUUGAGAUCCACCUAAGCUAGGUUACUUUUCAAAAUAUUAAUAUUUUUGUUUAAAUUUAACACUGACAUUACUUAACAUAUUAUAGUUUUUUUAUAAGAAUAUUGGAAUUUUCUGCAGAAGCACUUACCUUAGUCACUCAUCAGUCAUCUGAGCAGGUGAGUAGGAAAGAUAUGCACUAGAAACAGGCUCAUUUAUCUAACCAUGGAGUAUGAGAGAAUUCAGAACUUCAGUUUUACGCAGACUAGCCUUAUUUCUCCAACUAAAUUGAGGAUGAAGCCUAUGGGUCACCAGAGGAAAAUAGAUGAUUCUGAUAUUAAAUCAGCUCGUACACAUCCUCAGCUUCAGGAUAUCGAGUUCGUUGAGAACAGCUUAUUAGCUUCUAAUGUUGAUUAUGAUGAGCAAGUGUGUAAUACAGGGAAUGCAUCACUGCAUUCCAGCUUGAGCGGCAUUGUAUCAAAUGGUACUCAAGGGGAUCAGAGUUCUUUUUGGUUAAAGGAAUUUACGUCAGGAACUCCAUAUCGUUGAUUAAGCCUAAGCCUAAUCAACAGUCGAAGUACUGAAAUCUACAUCAAGUAACCUUCUAUAUUCUCACUUCUGGCCUCAUAGCAAUUUCUUUCCUGCAAACCAGGGAUUUUGUCAUAGGCCCCUUUUUGUCUCCCCCACAAGCAGAAUUUAUUUUUACACGGGAAUGUGAUGAAUCAUUAUGUAUGCUCACUGUGGCGCUGUUUGAUUUAAUUGUUUGGAUUUUGAUUAAUUUAUAAGAAAUGAACCGUGAUUAAUUUAUUUCGCUCUGAUAAGCAAGGUCAGUAGUGACAGCAUGAAAUAGUAAGUCUUAAACAUACUUAUAAUUCUUUUUUCCAUCUAAACUGGAUUAGCAUGAACUCUCCAACACUUUAUGGUAAUCCUAUACUUUUACUGACUUCGUGUUAAAUUAAUCUAUUGUUUGAUGCUUAAAAUGAUUUAUUGACUCUGAUGUGUUUUGUUUGCAUUUGACAAAGCAAGGGCAGUUUAAACAUCAAGAUUGAGUCCGACUGAGAGUACUGGUUCUUGUACAGUCCUUGAUUAACAUGCUCUGUGCUAAUUCUCGUAUUCUUUUUUGUUAAGGUAAUAAUACAAUAUGCAGUGGAGUUGCAUAUUGCAAGAUCUCAAUGGCUUACAUGUUCUCUUUAUGGCUGCUAUGGGAAUACUUCUGAAAACAUUAUAGUUACUCGAUUUUAUAAAAGUGUGUAUCGAGGUUCGGGUGAUUUCAAGAGGAAGAGAAUACUUCUAAAAUAUUCAAUAUCAACAAGCUCGAUGAAACAGAGUUGAUGUAAAAAGGUACUGGAUUUAAGCUCAAACAUUCUAUUUUUAUAGCAAUAGAUAGGACUAUGGAUAUAUUCAGUUUAUCUUGACUCGGUGUAGAUCGGAGGAUUGCUUGUGUAAUACUUAUAUUCUGCUAGCGUAGCUAGAUUUUAUUAGGAGCUUAUGUUAAUGCAAAAAAAUGUUGCUAUUGAUUUGCUGCACGACUUGUGAAAAAUUGCUGCUUUUUGAAAAUCAAUUGUGUGGUAUUAUGUAUUGGCGAACUGAUGUUGUAUGCUAGAUUAGUUAAAUAAAAUGACUUAGGUUUAUUUACUACCUGGUACAAGGAGAUCGUUGAAUGAAGGAUGAUACAUGCUUAAAUAUAGGAACACUUGUCUAUUAAUAAUGGUAGUAUCUUUUCCUCGGAAAUUUGAGGCUUAAUGAUCUAUUCUUUCAUAUGUAUAUGAUUCUGCAACCAGUUUGCGAUUGUUUGUGUCAGUUAAGCUACCGCUAACUCUUGCUAAUUCUGCGACUAAUGGGUGGUGGUUUACAUUAUAAAAUUUCUGGUCAGCCUGCAUUGCCGGUAGUGAGGAGACUGUAACUCAUCCAGUAAAAUGCCAAUCCACUAACUGAAAACUGAUCGAUCAAAAUUUAGAGUGUUUAAAAUAACUCAGAUAUGUUUAUUUUUUGCCUAAUCAUCUUGGUCAUCGUACUUAAAUAAGACUAAUAUUAUAAUUACUCAACUUUGUUUAGAGCUUUCAAAAAUUUCUUGUAGUUUUUAUAUUCUGUCUUUGACUGGUUAAGGUUAGCUUAUAGGCCUUAUACAUUUGCUUAGAUUUACAAUACUUUCUCGAAACCAAACCACCUGAAAACAAUUACCAGAAAGUGCAGUCUUUAAUGAUAGCAAUCUAAAUUAUGUUGAAGGAAUAUACAUAUACAAAAACGAUUUUUGGAGGCAGGAUGCUUAAUGCUUGCACAACUUUUAUUCAGAACUUUGUCAAUGCUUUUUUGGGUAUGUAGACUUAAGUUGAAUGCCAAUAAACGUGCAAAAAACUUCAGCUGAAAUGAUACAGGAACACUGGAUGCCACCAAAGGAAGAUGCAUUACUAUUCAAACAACCCAGUAGUUAAAUACAUCAACAAAUUCAACCAGCAAUGAAGCCUCUGCAAACAGUAUACAAUCGGAGAGGUUGGUACUCUCCAAUUUUACUGCUAUAUUAAAAGUUUGUCUAUUUUACUGGUCUUUUUUGCUACAUGUACAUAAGUGCAAGUAUAUAACCAAUAAUAGCAACAUCGAGAGAAUGAAGAAGCUAAAUUGAGGCCUUAGAAGACCACCUCAUAUAGUCAUAUGUCCUUGCUGUCCUUGCUUGGGCAUUGCUUUUAGUUGAUGAUCAUCCCAACUAGAGAGUUUUGGAAGAAGAGAGUAUACAUGAGUGUUAUGGAGUCAUGGAACACAUGAUUCUAAUAAUCUUCCCAUAUUCAAAGUCAUAGAUAGAAAAUCUACUAUUUGUUUGUCAAAUACACGGAAUAAUGUUACGAUCAAAUCUGUAUUACGCUAUUAUUGUGUAGGAGAUUAUAAUUUUACAUGAGAAUUAUAUUCACGGGGAGAUGUAUUUAUCUAAAUGGUACUACAUCGGAAGGAACCUCUUAGAACAGAAAUAUCUCUUGAAAAAUCUGUGGGAGGAGUGUCCAAUGCAAUGGAUAAAACUUUGCAAUGUAGAAAGAUAAACUACCUCUUUCUACCAUUUUACAACAUUUAACACUUAUUUUGAGCAAGUCUUCUCGUUAUCAUAAC
RNA transcript from Daucus carota subsp. sativus, 3845 nucleotides. RefSeq lists it as uncharacterized. The transcript is spliced from 7 exons. Lineage: Eukaryota; Viridiplantae; Streptophyta; Magnoliopsida; Apiales; Apiaceae. The record is from RefSeq and is a predicted model, not a curated record.